Molecule: long non-coding RNA, 260 nt
Filed under: Carica papaya (papaya)
Lineage: Eukaryota; Viridiplantae; Streptophyta; Magnoliopsida; Brassicales; Caricaceae
Description: long non-coding RNA (CPAP_LNC015995)
Source: RNAcentral
GAUUUAAUCUCAAUUAAAUUGCGAUCGAACGGUCCAUAUUUAAUCUAAAUGGACGGUUGAGAUUAAAAGGCAAAGGGUAUAAAUAACCCCACCCACACCUGACCACAAAAACCCUUGUCGCCAGUGCCUCGCCGGAGAAGAAGAACCAGACGCCGGAGGAGCCGGCUGCAGCUGCACCGGGGAAGUUUCUGACCGUCGAUUGAGGUAGAUUUUCUCCCCCUUGCUCGUUUUUCGAUGUUGAGUUCGCCUAUGGCCAAACC